UACGGAGGGUGCAAGCGUUAUCCGGAUUUACUGGGUUUAAAGGGUGUGUAGGCGGACUAUUAAGUCAGCGGUGAAAUCUCCGGGCUCAACCCGGAAACUGCCAUUGAUACUAUUAGUCUUGAAUGUUGUUGAGGUGGGCGGAACGGGUCAUGUAGCGGUGAAAUGCAUAGAUAUGACCCGGAACACCGAUUGCGAAGGCAGCCCACUAAGCAAUGAUUGACGCUGAGGCACGAAAGCGUGGGGAUCAAACAGG
RNAcentral lists this ribosomal RNA (253 nucleotides) under uncultured bacterium. RNAcentral describes it as "partial 16S ribosomal RNA". It matches the Rfam family "Bacterial small subunit ribosomal RNA", at positions 524 to 776 of the family's 1533-position model. The record is from RNAcentral.